UGGGGAAUAUUGCACAAUGGGCGCAAGCCUGAUGCAGCCAUGCCGCGUGUGUGAAGAAGGCCUUCGGGUUGUAAAGCACUUUCAGCGGGGAGGAAGGCGGUGAGGUUAAUAACCUCACCGAUUGACGUUACCCGCAGAAGAAGCACCGGCUAACUCCGUGCCAGCAGCCGCGGUAAUACGGAGGGUGCAAGCGUUAAUCGGAAUUACUGGGCGUAAAGCGCACGCAGGCGGUCUGUCAAGUCGGAUGUGAAAUCCCCGGGCUCAAACUGGGAACUGCAUUAGAAACUGGCAGGCGAGAGUCUUGUAGAGGGGGGUAGAAUUCCAGGUGUAGCGGUGAAAUGCGUAGAGAUCUGGAGGAAUACCGGUGGCGAAGGCGGCCCCUUGGACAAAGACUGACGCUCAGGUGCGAAAGCGUGGGGAGCAAACAGG
This 429-nucleotide ribosomal RNA is filed under the name Chloroflexota bacterium. RNAcentral's name for it is "Chloroflexi bacterium partial 16S ribosomal RNA". It matches the Rfam family "Bacterial small subunit ribosomal RNA", at positions 355 to 776 of the family's 1533-position model. The record is from RNAcentral. Lineage: Bacteria; Bacillati; Chloroflexota.